Molecule: long non-coding RNA, 1183 nt
Filed under: Zonotrichia albicollis (white-throated sparrow)
Lineage: Eukaryota; Metazoa; Chordata; Aves; Passeriformes; Passerellidae
Description: lncRNA (ENSZALG00000008270.1)
Source: RNAcentral
AGGCUGCAAGCCACUGUAAUUUACAUGUUACAUUGAUGAAAUGAAAUCUGGCAAGACAGGAAUGAACUGGUGCAAUGACAAAGCCUCAAAUGUGCCUCCAGGUAAAGAUAUAGGCACAAAAUAACAACAACAGUUUCAUAAUUAGACUGCGUAAAAGCUUCAGCCCUUUCAAGGGGCCACUAAAGCGCUGCAGCUGUUUGUGAUGCCUGGGAAGAAAGAGAGCUGAACCAUUUAAUGCAGAGGGUUCAAUGCUCUGAGAUAAUGAGGUCCUCCCAGGCCGUUGCCUUCUCUUUGCUGAGUUCCAGAAAUAAUCAUCAUGGCUCUUUGGUCCAGGAAAAUGUGUGCCAGAGACUUCCUAUAAAUGAACUCCCGUCCACCAGCCAUGGCUUACCUAAAACCAUAUGCUUUAGAAGAAGCAAGAAGGGAUCACAGAUGUAUUUUUUCCCCACAGGACAAAAGAUAAACUGCAAUAAAUAUGAUAACAAGCUAUUAAUCAAGAAACUUCACUGUAAUAUAGAAUGAAAAGUAGUUCAACAGAAAAUUUGUGACUUUCUACCAAAAAAGAAAUAAGUCACAGUUUUAAGUCAGCACAGAAAAGGUUCUGUAAUAUUAGACAAUUGAUUCCAACGGGAUACACUUUCCAGGAAGAAUUUAUGUUCUUUUGUUUGUGCAAUCCCUCACAAGGACACAUCUAAUAUGCUUUCAUAGACUCUUACAUUUCCACAGCAACAUUUUCUUCAGAAUACAAUUUAAGUGGGUUUUCAAAGGCUCAUGAGAUACAGGAAGCUCUGAGGAACAGAAGGAUGAUAAACUGAGCUCUGCUCUCAGUUACUCUGUCUUGUCACUAAACCAAUCCAGAAUUUAGGCUGCUGUACCUGACAAAAGGCUUUGCCUCACCAUCACUCGCAAUUGUUGUGCCAUACAAGGCAGGAUGCCUUAUUGUUGAAAGAAAAUCAGUGGCAAUGUCAAUUCAGAUUUGGUCUGAAGAAAACACGGAUGUUUUUUAUACAGAGACACAGUCCAUUUGUCAUACAUAACAUGUACUUUUGAAUGACAUGACGUUUUUAGAAAGGAGCGUGUCUUCUCUGUAUUGAAAAAAAUCAACUGCAUGAGUCAAAUAUUUCUGCAGUGAAAAACAAAGGCCUCCAAUAAAUAAAAAUUCUGGUUUAAGCUAAUUUGUUGU